UACCUGAUUGAUUCUGUCAGCGCGAUAUGCUCAAGUAAAAGAUUAAGCCAUGCAUGCUUUGAUUCAUAAAUGAAAUUGCGUACGGCUCAUUAGAGCAGAUAUCACCUUUCUCGGAAUCCUGAAAAGGAUAACUGCGGAAAUUCUGGAGCUAAUACAUGCGACUAUACUCCAACGCAAGGCGGGGUGCAAUUAUUAGAACAGACCAAACGUUUUCGGACGUUGUUUGUUGACUCUGAAUACCGUCGUUUACUGUCAGUUUCGACUGACUCC
Molecule: non-coding RNA, 270 nt
Filed under: Caenorhabditis japonica
Lineage: Eukaryota; Metazoa; Nematoda; Chromadorea; Rhabditida; Rhabditidae
Description: Eukaryotic small subunit ribosomal RNA
Rfam family: Eukaryotic small subunit ribosomal RNA
Source: Rfam by way of RNAcentral